This 435-nucleotide ribosomal RNA is filed under the name uncultured bacterium. Its description in RNAcentral is "partial 16S ribosomal RNA". It matches the Rfam family "Bacterial small subunit ribosomal RNA", at positions 29 to 507 of the family's 1533-position model. The record is from RNAcentral.
AGCGAACGCUGGCGGCAGGCUUAACACAUGCAAGUCGAGCGGGCAUCUUCGGAUGUCAGCGGCAGACGGGUGAGUAACACGGGGGAACGUACCCUUCGGUUCGGAACAACUCUGGGAAACUGGAGCUAAUACCGGAUACGCCCUUAUGGGGAAAGGUUUACUGCCGAAGGAUCGGCCCGCGUCUGAUUAGCUAGUUGGUGGGGUAACGGCCUACCAAGGCGACGAUCAGUAGCUGGUCUGAGAGGAUGAUCAGCCACACUGGGACUGAGACACGGCCCAGACUCCUACGGGAGGCAGCAGUGGGGAAUAUUGGACAAUGGGCGCAAGCCUGAUCCAGCCAUGCCGCGUGAGUGAUGAAGGCCUUAGGGUUGUAAAGCUCUUUUGUCCGGGACGAUAAUGACGGUACCGGAAGAAUAAGCCCCGGCUAACUUCGUG